Non-coding RNA from Peromyscus maniculatus bairdii (prairie deer mouse), 745 nucleotides. The record is from RefSeq and is a predicted model, not a curated record. Lineage: Eukaryota; Metazoa; Chordata; Mammalia; Rodentia; Cricetidae.
GUGCUUCUCACUUUUAGGGUGGGUGCUCCCACCUCAGUGAAUCUAAUCAGUCUGCUCUCUCACAGGCAGGGCCAGAGACAACCUGAAUCUGGACUACCCCUCACAGACAUGCCCAGAACCUUGUCUCCCAGGGCCACCACCCCAGCCUUCCAUCUGGGCAGUUCCAGGAGCUGUGAUUUCCACAGGCAGUGCUGUGACCAUCUUCUGCAGGACUCCUCCAGGAGUGAAUACUGUGCGUCUAACCCAUUUUGUACCGGAUGGAAAGUGGUUUGAUCGUACUCCACAGGGAGCCCAGGAGGUGUUUGAAUUCAGUCUGCAGAAUAUGACACAAGGCAGUGCUGGGGUUUACUACUGUGAAUACUCCAAGGGAGGCGACACACCACAAAUUAGUGACAAACUGGAGCUGGUGGUGACAGGUGUUUAUAAGGAGAAGCCAUCUCUUACUGUUGAUUCAGGACCUCAGGGAUCCUCAGAAAUCAAUGCAACUCUCCACUGCCACAUACAUGUUUCCUUUAAUAUCUUCAUCCUCUGCAGAGAUGGAAAUGCUUCCUUUCCCCAGAACUGCUCACGGCAGGACCACAACACAUUCCUCAUCUCCCCUGUGAGCCCAGGGCAUAGGAGGAUCUACAGAUGCUUUGGCUCUAAGAAACACAAUUCCUACUUGUGGUCACUGCCUAGUGAUCCACUUGAGUUUUCAAUCCCAGGUAAAUCCAUCUGGUUCUUGUUCCUUAUCUCUGUGCUUAGA